CUACAAAUGAAUUGACGGGGCCCGCACAAGCGGUGGAGCAUGUGGUUUAAUUCGACGCAACGCGAAGAACCUUACCAGGGCUUGACAUCCCCUGACCGCGUAUGAAAGUACGUUUUCACCCUCGGGUGACAGGGAGACAGGUGGUGCAUGGUUGUCGUCAGCUCGUGUCGUGAGAUGUUGGGUUAAGUCCCGCAACGAGCGCAACCCCUACGUUUAGUUGCUAACGCGUGAAGGCGAGCACUCUAGACGAACUGCCGUUGACAAAACGGAGGAAGGUGGGGAUGACGUCAAAUCAUCAUGCCCCUUAUGUUCUGGGCUACACACGUGCUACAAUGGCUGAAACAAAGGGCAGCGAAGCAGUGAUGUGGAGCGAAACCCAAAAAAGCAGUCUCAGUUCGGAUUGAAGUCUGCAACUCGACUUCAUGAAGUCGGAAUCGCUAGUAAUCGCGGAUCAGAACGCCGCGGUGAAUACGUUCUCGGGGUUU
RNAcentral lists this ribosomal RNA (485 nucleotides) under uncultured Pelotomaculum sp. Its description in RNAcentral is "bacterial SSU rRNA". It matches the Rfam family "Bacterial small subunit ribosomal RNA", at positions 903 to 1382 of the family's 1533-position model. Lineage: Bacteria; Bacillati; Bacillota; Clostridia; Eubacteriales; Desulfotomaculaceae. The record is from RNAcentral.